CUUAUAUAGUUUCUUUUGUUGACUAUAUAUAUAGCUAGUACAUGUAAAUAUAAUAUCAUGUUUCUUAAAUUUGUCACAAGAUGUCUCAUCAUGCUUUUCAUUUACAAAAAAAAAAAAGAAAAAGAAAAAAAGAAAAGGACCCGUUCAGCUGAAUCAUAGUUUUAAGACAAAACCAAACAAUAGAUUUUCGAAAAUGAAUCUAAACAGCGAGACAACAUUACAACAAAUAACACAAUAUAACCAAAAGUAAAAAAAUAUCUAGUAUGGGUCGCCUAAUACAAUGUUAAUCAACAUGUCAUGCAUGUUCGAGAACAACUAUUGAUAGAAAAGGUAGGUUCUGAAAAUAAAGGCUCUCUGGGAUGACAGUCAUAGAAAUUUGGACUGCCUCUGCUUCAUUUGAUAAUGUUAGAAAUGCCGUGCUAUCUACGUGCACAACAAAUAGUUAUUGCAAGGAUUCUGAACGUACAGAUGGUGUGUCACUUUCUUUCCACGAGGCUUCAGAUUAUAUGAAUUCCCUAUUCUGACUGGACGAGCUCGAGGCUGUGU
RNAcentral lists this long non-coding RNA (546 nucleotides) under Mytilus galloprovincialis (Mediterranean mussel). Lineage: Eukaryota; Metazoa; Mollusca; Bivalvia; Mytilida; Mytilidae. The record is from RNAcentral.